This 255-nucleotide ribosomal RNA is filed under the name Escherichia coli. RNAcentral's name for it is "partial 16S ribosomal RNA". It matches the Rfam family "Bacterial small subunit ribosomal RNA", at positions 1 to 253 of the family's 1533-position model. The record is from RNAcentral. Lineage: Bacteria; Pseudomonadati; Pseudomonadota; Gammaproteobacteria; Enterobacterales; Enterobacteriaceae.
AAUUGAAGAGUUUGAUCAUGGCUCAGAUUGAACGCUGGCGGCAGGCCUAACACAUGCAAGUCGAACGGUAACAGGAAGAAGCUUGCUUCUUUGCUGACGAGUGGCGGACGGGUGAGUAAUGUCUGGGGAACUGCCUGAUGGAGGGGGAUAACUACUGGAAACGGUAGCUAAUACCGCAUAACGUCGCAAGACCAAAGAGGGGGACCCUCGGGCCUCUUGCCAUCGGAUGUGCCCAGAUGGGAUUAGCUAGUAGGU